This 74-nucleotide transfer RNA is filed under the name Microthrixaceae bacterium. RNAcentral's name for it is "tRNA-Arg". It matches the Rfam family "tRNA". Rfam says of the family: Transfer RNA (tRNA) molecules are approximately 80 nucleotides in length. Their secondary structure includes four short double-helical elements and three loops (D, anti-codon, and T loops). Lineage: Bacteria; Bacillati; Actinomycetota; Acidimicrobiia; Acidimicrobiales; Microthrixaceae. The record is from RNAcentral.
GCCCUCGUAGCUCAGCUGGAUAGAGCACCGGACUUCUAAUCCGAUGGUCGCAGGUUCGAAUCCUGCCGAGGGCG